Acanthosepion pharaonis is the source of this 113-nucleotide non-coding RNA. The record is from the annotation of a GenBank genome assembly. Lineage: Eukaryota; Metazoa; Mollusca; Cephalopoda; Sepiida; Sepiidae.
UUCGGCCAUAUCACGUUGAAAUACCAGUCCCUGUACGAUCACCGUAGUUAAGCAACGUCAAGCCUGGUCAGUACCUAGAUGGGUGUCCGCUUUUGAAUACCAGGUGCUGUAAG